UACAUGGGGUGCAAACGUUGCUCGGAAUUAUUGGGCGUAAAGCGCGCGUAGGCGGUUACUUAAGUCGGAUGUGAAAGCCCUCGGCUUAACUGAGGAAGUGCACCCGAAACUGAGUAGCUAGAGUACGAAAGAGGGUCGCGGAAUUCCCGGUGUAGAGGUGAAAUUCGUAGAUAUCAGGAGGAACACCGGUGGCGAAGGCGGCUUUCUGGACAGAAACUGACGCUGAUGCGCGAAAGCUAGGGGAGCAAACAGG
RNAcentral lists this ribosomal RNA (253 nucleotides) under uncultured bacterium. Its description in RNAcentral is "partial 16S ribosomal RNA". It matches the Rfam family "Bacterial small subunit ribosomal RNA", at positions 524 to 776 of the family's 1533-position model. The record is from RNAcentral.